This 90-nucleotide transfer RNA is filed under the name Fidelibacterota bacterium. RNAcentral describes it as "tRNA-Ser". It matches the Rfam family "tRNA". Rfam says of the family: Transfer RNA (tRNA) molecules are approximately 80 nucleotides in length. Their secondary structure includes four short double-helical elements and three loops (D, anti-codon, and T loops). Further hydrogen bonds mediate the characteristic L-shaped molecular structure. tRNAs have two regions of fundamental functional importance: the anti-codon, which is responsible for specific mRNA codon recognition, and the 3' end, to which the tRNAs corresponding amino acid is attached (by aminoacyl-tRNA synthetases). tRNAs cope with the degeneracy of the genetic code in two manners: having more than one tRNA (with a specific anti-codon) for a particular amino acid; and 'wobble' base-pairing, i.e. permitting non-standard base-pairing at the 3rd anti-codon position. The record is from RNAcentral. Lineage: Bacteria; Pseudomonadati; Fidelibacterota.
GGAGAGGUGUCUGAGUGGCUUAAGGUGCAUGCUUGGAAAGCAUGUGUAGGCGCAAGCCUACCGGGAGUUCGAAUCUCCCCCUCUCCGCCA